RNAcentral lists this ribosomal RNA (388 nucleotides) under uncultured bacterium. RNAcentral's name for it is "bacterial SSU rRNA". It matches the Rfam family "Bacterial small subunit ribosomal RNA", at positions 28 to 416 of the family's 1533-position model. The record is from RNAcentral.
GACGAACGCUGGCGGCGUGCUUAACACAUGCAAGUCGAGCGGUAAGGCCCUUUCGGGGGUACGACGAGCGGCGAACGGGUGAGUAACACGUGGGUGACCUGCCCUCAGCUCUGGGAUAAGCCUGGGAAACUGGGUCUAAUACCGGAUAUGACUCCAUGACGCAUGUUGUGGGGUGGAAAGCCUUGUGCGGCUGAGGAUGGGCCCGCGGCCUAUCAGCUUGUUGGUGGGGUGANGGCCUACCAAGGCGACGACGGGUAGCCGGCCUGAGAGGGCGACCGGCCACACUGGGACUGAGACACGGCCCAGACUCCUACGGGAGGCAGCAGUGGGGAAUCUUGCGCAAUGGGCGAAAGCCUGACGCAGCGACGCCGCGUGAGGGAUGACGGCC